Molecule: non-coding RNA, 24 nt
Filed under: Drosophila melanogaster (fruit fly)
Lineage: Eukaryota; Metazoa; Arthropoda; Insecta; Diptera; Drosophilidae
Source: RNAcentral
UGUAUAUGGAGAUGUAAUGCAUGC